This 524-nucleotide ribosomal RNA is filed under the name uncultured bacterium. RNAcentral describes it as "partial 16S ribosomal RNA". It matches the Rfam family "Bacterial small subunit ribosomal RNA", at positions 28 to 523 of the family's 1533-position model. The record is from RNAcentral.
GACGAACGCUGGCGGCGUGCCUAAUACAUGCAAGUCGAGCGCAGGAAACUGACGGAACUCUUCGGAGGGAAGGCAGUGGAAUGAGCGGCGGACGGGUGAGUAACACGUAAGGAACCUGCCUCAAGGAUUGGGAUAACUCCGAGAAAUCGGAGCUAAUACCGGAUAGUUCAACGGACCGCAUGGUCCGUUGAUGAAAGGCGCUCCGGCGUCACCUUGAGAUGGCCUUGCGGUGCAUUAGCUAGUUGGUGGGGUAACGGCCCACCAAGGCGACGAUGCAUAGCCGACCUGAGAGGGUGAUCGGCCACACCGGGACUGAGACACGGCCCAGACUCCUACGGGAGGCAGCAGUAGGGAAUCUUCCACAAUGGACGAAAGUCUGAUGGAGCAACGCCGCGUGAGUGAUGAAGGUUUUCGGAUCGUAAAACUCUGUUGUAAGGGAAGAACACGUACGAGAGGGAAUGCUCGUACCUUGACGGUACCUUACGAGAAAGCCACGGCUAACUACGUGCCAGCCGCCGCAGUAA